This is a long non-coding RNA of Dendrobium catenatum, 1198 nucleotides long. RefSeq lists it as uncharacterized. The record is from RefSeq and is a predicted model, not a curated record. NCBI's taxonomy places the organism in Eukaryota, Viridiplantae, Streptophyta, Magnoliopsida, Asparagales, Orchidaceae. The transcript is spliced from 2 exons.
UCUUUCUUUAUUAUAUUUCUUUUAAUUUCUUAGUCUUUUUACUAUUUAUUAUAAUAAUUGUUUGAAUCAUAAUAAUUUUCUCUUUCAUAUUAAAUGAGUCAGCUUGUGAGCCGGCUCGAACUCGUAGAAUAAAGCUCCAGCUCGAACUCUUUUAAUUAAUCAAGCUCAAGCUCAAGGCAAGUUUGACUCAAACUUGGAUCGACUCAUUUAUACUCCUAGCUGUAAUACAUUCUUUCCUUGCAGCAUUUGAAAUUUGGAGAUGAAAUUUGUGAAAAUAGUUGGGUUACAUAAGGAAAUGCUAUUAGUAGCCUCAUCUCCAACAUGAAAUUGAGUUAGGAUCAGAGGGUCUAAUCAAUUGCCAGUUAUUAAGUUUUAUGCCUUACACUACAUUUAGCAGUGUGAUAUUGUAUCUAUAUGUUUUAUAUGUGACGACGUAGCAUAUGUUAUAACAUUCUACUGAUUACUUCAGUUGAAAUCCCUGGCAGCUGUGGAUGCUGGAGAAGCUCCAGGCUUUUACAUGUGAACCCACCAAACUCUUGGUCAGAUGGUUUUUCAGGGAAUAUUUCAAUGUUUUAUAUGAUGAUGAUGAAACAUAAAUGUGAUACAAGCAUAGAAAUUUUCUACUGAAUACUUCACUUAAAUAUACGUUGUAACAAUGACUGUUGUGGUGCUUGGUAAGGAUCAGGAUUCAUGUCUUCUUCUUCUUAUCCAGUGAUUACUUCAACUAAAGGUUAAUAUCUACUGGAGAUGCAAUGGAUAUAAUAUCCAACAAAUGAGAGUGACUUCUUCCUAGCUUAUUGACGAAUCAUCCAUGGCCACUUUUCUCAUUAUUAGUCUAGCAAUGGAUGACACGUCAACGAUGGUUUGAAAGGCAUGUAAAUGAUGCAUCAUUUUUCCUUAUUUUGGUAUUGUACGUAGAGGACGGGAGAAAGUUCUUUCUUUGUGCUAUUUUAAGACUCUCUCUUUCUCUCUCUCUCUCUAUAUAUAUAUAUAAACACACACACAUACAUACAUACACACACAGAAAAAUAUCAAAAUAGUCUUCAAACUAUUUGUAUGUGUCCAAUUUACUCAGAGUAUUUCGUUGUCCUAAUUUUUAACCCUCAACUAUGUAAGAUUGAUCAAAAAUGUUCUUUCACGUUGUAAUUAUGAUAUAUAUAUUGAUCACAAUUUAGUCGCUUGACUAUACAAUUGGUUG